AUGAAAGGCAAGAUGGCGUUUGUUUAAAAUAAAUUUCAAACGCUGCUGAUAGAUUUGAGUAUUACACAACAUAUAUUAGGAAUAUUAGAUGAAUGUAGAGCGGAUUUGAUUGAUGUGCUCGCCAUUGCGUCGAAAACAUUUCGCCAAGUAUUUUGAACGAGCAAAAAUUCCUUGAAAUUUUUCCUCUUGGCGAACACGAAACAAGUUAAAAAAUUGCUACCGAAUCACUGGUGAAGCCAAUAUUUCUCUUCCGAUUCCAUGUAAUGAGGAGGCAAACGUAAGCGUUCCAGAGAACAACACUGUUUAAUUUCAACGGGCGGCAACAGUUCGGAAUAUGUUGUGAUAUUGUUGCUAUGUCGUGUGAAUGAGCCAGCAGCUGCUGCAAUCGAAAUCUCAUCGCCACUCUUGGACAGGGAUAUGGAUGCGCUCGAUGAAUCCUUACUAGAAGCUACCUUCAGGCCUGUGGAUGACAACGAAAUCGAACGCGAAGCAACAUCUGGCAAAAUUUACAAUUGUUAUAAACAUCUGGCAAAAUGUAGCCUUUAAGAUAGAGAAAAGAAUAAAGUGAAUAUCUCGGUAGUGGUAAGUGUAGACAGUAUUGCAGGAUGACAACCCCAAACUACAGAGAGCUUUAAAUACAAUCUCCGGAUCGAGCCUUUCACCAUCGAUGGCCGACAUGACCACGGAAUCAAACUGAUCGAGAAUGUGUGAUGGGUUUGCGAUAUGCCGGACAUCAAAUCGACCAUCCAGAAAAUAUCUCAACGACCCCGAUACCGGAGAUUUCUAUGUAAUGAAUCACAUUUGUGAUCGAUUCAACAAGGCAAUCAAUAGUGUUGCUGCAUUGGAAAAGGAAACGUCUCUUUUAAGUCGACGAUUUACAUACCUUUCUCGUGGUCUUGCGGCACAUAAUACAGCAAGUAAAUAAUCAGAUCGAUGUUGACCGGAAAAAAUUGAACCAGUAUGAAUCAUUUUCUCUGGAGGUGAAACUUUAUUCGAUCAUAUGUCAGAUGAUCGAUCAGUCUAAAAUCACUGGAGAUGAUUUGAGUGUUGAUUCUGGCGUUGGUAUAGUGGUAUUGCAAACGGCUGCAUUGACAGCGGUGAAGAUCUACACUGCUAGUGUAUCAUGCGGUCAGUACUCAUCAAUGUUAAACGUAUCGACGACGGCGACUCAGCAUCUGAAUUCCACAACCAUAACGACCUCUCCCUUUUAGUCGUAUUAAGGACACGGUACUAGCCAAAAUACGAAAAUCUCACCGAACUUCAUAUACUACUAGAAGAGUAUGCCAAUUUAUCAUCAUUCACAGGUGGAGAACAGUACGCGUCAACCGAUUCUGCACCAGUAAGAACGAGAGCGUGUGACACGUAGACUUCGAUAAAAUCAUACAGUUAUGCUCUUCAAUCAGUCUCAUAUAUGUCAUCAUCGGAAACAAUGUAGAUACGAUGCUCGAAAUCCUGUAGAUGAUUCUAUGCUGCAAAGUAUUCAUUCACGAAGUUCAUCAACAACCUCCCGUGAUGGGGAUUAUCCAUCCUCAGGUGGAAACAUACGAUACGUCAAUGUUCCUUCGAGUCAACUACAACUUUUUCAACAAUAGCAGAAUGAACAAAUGGGUGGUAACAUAUCACGCCCGGGUUCAUCUUCACAACCCAAUUAUACCUGCCCAGCAAAGGUAGCUUUGAGGCAUCAUCUAUUGCAGAAAAAGCUGACCCAUCCGAUAUAACCCUCGAUGAGUACGGUUAAAACCAUCGGUGAUCUUGUGAAUGGGAAAACCGAGCGGACAUUAGAAAAUUUCAACCAAUCGUUCAUCAAUACCGUGGCAAACAUGAGCACAACGGGACCGCAUGCCAUGCCGACAUCAACAUCAACACACAACGACCCGAACGCUUUAGUAUUCAGAUGCUAGAGGAAGCCGGUCGCUAUGGCAGUGCUUCAGUAAACAGCCCAAUAUCCCGCUCGAAUAGCAGCGUACUUGUUUCGCUCUCUCUUGUGCAUCUACAUAAUCAAAGCAAUUUACCAUUCAAGCGGAGGUGGCUACGUACAACGACAAAAAACCGUCGUCAAAAUUGAAGGGAGAACCACGUCUACUCAACAAUAUUCAUUUAGCUGAUCUCACUCACUUGUUUACCAAUAAAAUUGUGGUAAAAUACAUCCUAUCAGUCGGAACAGCUUUACAUGGCUCUGUCACGAGCGGACAUGAAACCAUACCUAUAAUCCGAUUCCAUCGACGACCACACCACACCACACCACAAGCGACAGCAGCAACAACCGAUCCACAGGUACUCAGAAUUAUAAAAAAUGGUGUUAUCGUGCAGGUGGACUAUACAUAUGUUAUAAUUCCUA
Long non-coding RNA from Topomyia yanbarensis, 2338 nucleotides. RefSeq lists it as uncharacterized. NCBI's taxonomy places the organism in Eukaryota, Metazoa, Arthropoda, Insecta, Diptera, Culicidae. The transcript is spliced from 7 exons. The record is from RefSeq and is a predicted model, not a curated record.